AUUCAGCUGAAGAGUUCCAAACAGAACGAAACACGCGUCAAACUGAAU
RNAcentral lists this non-coding RNA (48 nucleotides) under Schistosoma margrebowiei. The record is from RNAcentral. Lineage: Eukaryota; Metazoa; Platyhelminthes; Trematoda; Strigeidida; Schistosomatidae.